GGAGCUGUAGACUAAUUGGCUAGGUUGGCUCCACGGAAUGGAAAUGCGGGUUCGAGUCCCGCCAGGGCCC
This is a non-coding RNA of Acanthoscelides obtectus, 70 nucleotides long. The record is from the annotation of a GenBank genome assembly. NCBI's taxonomy places the organism in Eukaryota, Metazoa, Arthropoda, Insecta, Coleoptera, Chrysomelidae.